UUGACAGUGUCCUUUGCCGUUCAGAAGCUCAGUUCAAGUAACUGUCCUGUGUCCUGAGCCCUAGAAUGAAGCUCACUUCUGUCAAUAAGGAUCAAGGACAUCAAAAACAAAAAAAAAUUUUAAAGGAUUUUAAAAAAUAGAUUUUGUAGAAAAAUGGAAAAUAUGGGACACUGUAAAGUGGGAAAUAUUUUUCACCUCUUACUAGUAGGAGGCAAUUUUUAUUACGUUUGUUAUAUAUUGUCAUUGAAAGUAUUUCUAUUUACAAUAUUAGUAUAUUUGUUGAUACAUGGUUGAAACAUUUGAGGUAGAAGACGUGCACUCCACGUGCUCACAGAUUGUACUAGAAUUCAACUCACAUGCCUUGCCCUUCUGAGGAAGGGAUUUACACCUGUCUUCCACCCAGCAGGCUGGGAACAGAUGCUGUUUAAUAGCCCAGUUAUCUUUGAUUAUCUUAGAGCCAGGCCUCACCCGAAAUCACCCAUCCUUAUGAAAGAUGACCUAUGCACUUUGCAAAAGAGCUUGAUUAUUUUACUCCAUACAAACCCUUCCUCCCCAGACCAUUGACCUGAGCAGUGUUUCUCCAUCAAUAGAACCUACUUUUGUAGAAGAAAUCACAGGUACUUUGCGAAAGACACAUACUUUGCAAAAGAGCUUUGAUUUAGAAACCCCUUUCUAAGAUAACUUGAUGCUUACAUAUGUUAAAAACAAACAGCUUGGGAUCAGACUCCAGAAGUUUGCUAACUUAAGUUACAAUGAACAGACUUUCCUUCCUGCCUCUCAGGGUCUGUUUCCCAAUUGGCCAUGAUGCUUGAUAUCUUGGCUAUGACACCCACAGUUUGACAUGUUUCAUGCUGUUCUCCCAUAAGCCAUUUUUAACUAAUAUACAUAGUUCAGGAGUCAGUAGCCUUUCCUUGUAAAUGCCCAAAUAGAAAAUGUGCCAGACUGUGGGGGCCAUUUAGGCUGUUAGAAUGUAUGUAUUUCUGUACAUAGAGUAGGAAAGCAGCCAUCAGCCAUACACAGGUGAAUGACCAUGGUUAGAUUCCAGUAAAAUAUAGAAAGAGGGAGGACCAGAAAGAGGCAGCACCUGGCCUCCAAGCUAUUAUUUGCUCACUCAUGGAUACACACACACACACACACACACACACACAUUCUAGCCAUUGGUUAGCAGAAUUUCAACGUUUAUCUGACCCCGAUAAUCAUCUUCCUGCUGAAACUCUUUUCAGCUAAUCCUGCCCUCUGUGCAUACCUACCAGGCGACUGCUGUACCCCUCACCUAGCUACAACUCCAUCUUCACUAUGGACAUUUUCCUGAUGGCCGUUGAUGCUCAUUGUCUUUUGUGUACGUUUUGGCCAUUUACGACUCUUUUGUAGUAGCUAUUCAGGUUCUUUCUCCAGCUUUGAAUUGGGUUAUUUUAUUGGUGUUGACUUGGGGCACUUUCAUUAUUCUGAGUAUUAAUCUCUUAUCAGACAUGUUAUACAUUUUCUCCCAUUCUGAGCAGGAUAUAUUAGCAUCUUUUGGAGACACAAAAUUCUAAUUUCAAUACAGUUCAAUUUUUUUUCCUUUUAUUGCUUGCUUCUUGGCAUCAUACCUGUGAAGUCAGUAAUCAAUGCAAAGCCCUGUGCUCUUUCUAUGAGUCUCAUGAUUUCAGCUCUUAAAGUCUUUGAUACAUUUUUCAGUUAAUUUUUAUAUUCGGCAGGAGAGUCUAAGGCAGUGGUUCUCAACCUUCCUAAUGCUGUGACCCUUUACUAGAGUUCCUUAUGUUAUGGUGACCCCACCCCCACCCCGGACACUGUAAUUUGAAAAUGGACAUUUAGCCAGUUUUGUGGUUUUCUAGUUGAUUGUCAGAGGCUAUCGAUUUGAUGGUUGAUGUGUGUGCUUGCAUGACAGUUGAUGUGUGUGCUUGCAUGACAGUUGAUAUGUGUGCUUGCAUGACAGUUGAUGUGUGUGCUUGCAUGACAGUUGAUAUGUGUGCUUAUUUGUUCAUGCUACAGCACACGUGUGGAAGUCAGAGACGCAUCAGGGGGACGUCAGUAUUCUACACCUGUGGGUCCCAGGGCUCAAACUCGGCAGACUUGGCUGUAAUCAUCUCUCCUGAUGCCCCAUCUUGCAGGCCCCCAAAGGGAAACUUCACUUGUUUUCUUUGCUUUCCACAGGUUUCCUUAUCACCUCUGUAAACACAUUAUCAGUUUCCCCAUCGAUCUCAACCUGUCUCCACUGGUUAAGUCAUUAAUUGCAUCUCCGUUGAGUAACUCUGAACUUUGGCCCUGCAUCCCUGACAUGCCCAGCAAACAUUUAUCUUUUCACCUCAAGGCAGUCUUGAGGUGAAGCGUGGGGGACGGAAGCACACGUUGGUAAACACGUGAUCCUGAACAGGGCUUCCAGCCUGGGCAGGUGUGGGUGUGGGUGUGCGCGCAUGUGUGUAUUUUACUUUUUUAUUUGUUUAUAUAUUUUAUGGAAUGCAUGCUCUGUCCGCAUGUACACCUGCUUGACAGAGGAGGGCAUCAGAUCCAUUAUUGAUAGUUGUGAGUCACCAUGUGGUUGCUGGGAAUUGAACUCAGGAUCUCUGGAAGAGCAGCCGGUGCUCUUAACUCAUGAACCAUCUCUCCUGCCCUGGCAAUGGUGUUUUAAAUAGCUCCAGCAACAGGCUUCUCACUGCCUCAUUUAUAGGACAGCUGUGGUGGUGUAGUAUGACCCUUAAUGCCCAUUUCUAUCUUUAAGCUUAUGUAUCUGUGAUGUAAUUUAACCUUAAGACAAGUGGAGAAUGGCCAACGUCUCUAGUGUUUGUCUCAGUAAGCUUAAGCAGGACUUUCAGGUCUGCUCACUGACUGGCAGUGAGACACAGUGACUUGGCUUCUAGUGUGACACCAGACAGCUUCAAGUGCUAGAGAGUAGGGUAAAAAUGACAACUCAUCCACAGCUGAAUGUAACAGGGUUAGGGUGAGGUCCUGGUUACAUUAUUAAAAUGAACAGUUCUCAUUUAUUAGGGAAAAAAAUCUACCCUAGGAAUUUCUCACUUUUCUAGAAGUUUCUGAAAAAAAAAAACAUGAUAACAACCCAUGUAUCAGGUUGGCAUUCAAAACUGUGGAAAUGGCAGGAAGAGGGGCCUUUGGAAAUGUGAAGUUUGAAUUUAUGACGUCGUGAUUGACAGCUGCUUUACUCUUAACAGCCUGUGAGCGCAAAUGCUUGGGGAGCCUCUUGAGUUUAAGUCCAUUUUGCACAAGGAGCCAGGGUCCUCAAAGUAGCCAGGUUUAGUCAGGGGAAACACAGCCAAGGUCCAGCUGCAACGUCUAUGAACUUGGACUGACUUAGCCAGGGCCAGGCUGACUCCAUGACAGGCAGCAAACGGGCAGUUUGGGAGACUAGCCCGAAGUCUCUGUUUCCCAGAAACGAGAAUCUGGAUCCAGGAACUUGUUGUCAGCCAACCACAGCCAUGGGCAGCCAAUCCAAGGACACCUUGUCAUCUGGCCUGCAGUAAGAAUAGGUAGCUAGAAUGAGUAAGCAACCUGCGGGGAGGUCUCCAGAGCCUAACCAGGUAUAGAAUCAGUCAGACCUCGAGAGACAGAGUCAAGACCAGUCAAGGUAACAGGGCACACACCUGCCGCUGGAAUUCUGCUGACAAUAAAAGCUGGGCCUCUGAGCCCACCAGAGGUCUCCAUUCCCAAGUGGGGAGACCCCUGCAUGUAGGAAAUGAUUUUCAUAGCUUUUGCAUACGAAUAGUUGAGUCUAGGGUAUCACUCUUCAGAGAUUCUUGGACCCUAAUCUCAUGAAGUUUAGUUACCCCCUUGUCUUAGGGUUUUACUGUUGUGAAUAGACACCAUGACCAAGGCUAUUCUUAUAAGGACAACAUUUAAUUGGGGCUGUCUUACAAGUGCAGAGGUUCAGUCCAUUAUCAUCAAGGCAGCAUCCAGGUAGGCAUGGUGCGGGAGGAGUUGAGAGUUCUACGUCUUCAUCUGAAGGCUGCUAGCAGAAUACUCACUUCCAGCCAGCUAGGAUGAGGGUCUUAAGCCCACACCCACGGUGACACACUUACUCCACCAAGGCCACACCUUCUAAUCUUGCCAUUCCCUGGGCUGAGCGUUUACAAACCAUCACACCCCUUUCUUGACUUUCUUGUGUCACAGUUUUGGGAAAACUAAAAACUAUAUAUAAAAUGCUACACCUCACUAAUGUUACAUUUGAAUCAAAUGUUCAUUUUUUUAUAGGUGUAUGCACUGGUGUGUAAUCCAUUACUCUUCCCAGGUAGUAAUCCAGUUUUAUGUUUCUGAUAUUUUUAUGUGUUUUAUUAGAAGUCAGCUGUCAUGUUGGUGAAGUAUCUGAGACUGCUUAAAAACUGAACAAGUCAGGAUGGACUCCUGGGUCUGAGACAAAGGGCUUUAUUCAUAGUACAUGGACACGGUAGCAGCCCAUGUGAGCUUGUCACUUUGGACUCCCUAGUCCUCCAAGGUUCACAGUGAGGGACACUGAGGAAGUCAAGGUGGAUGUUACAUAGGUAUUGCCUGCAUCUCCACUGAGUAACUCUGAACUUGCAUCCCUGUCAUGCCCAACAAAUACAGACUAAGAGGGAUACUGAGGGCCCAUGGUAGGAUGCAUUUGGAUGAAACAAAAUCUAGGCCUAACUGCCCAUAGAAAUAAUUACCUUCGUGUUUCCUGGACCGUAAUGCUGGUGAGUGAUCUGAACUUUUCAAUAUAUGAGUCGGCAGCUGCGUUAGUUCUUUUUCUGUUGCCAUGUUACAAUACCAUGACCAAGGCAACUUAGAGAAGAAAGGAUUUGAUUGACAGUUCCAGAGGGGUAAGAGUAUGUCAUGGGGAAACAUGGGAGCAAGCCGCAGGCAUGGAAGCAGGGGCAGAAAGCUGAGGGCUCAUCUUGAACUGCAAGCAUGAAGCAGAGAGUGAACUAGAAAUGUAUGUUUUUAACUCUGGAAGCCCACCCCAUGCGCCAUGCCUCAGCUCCAAUAAGGCCACACCUCCUGAGCCUCUCCAAUCACACCACCAACUGGGGGCCGUGGGUUCAAAUGCCCACGAUGGGGAACAUGUCAUUCAACAGAGGUUAUUGGUAAGUUGGCACUGCAUCUCAACAGCAGGACUGCAUCUAUCAGCAGCUCUGGUGACACACACACGCUGACACUCAGGUACCUGGUGAACAAAGCUUGGUUUGCUGUCUUCCUAUCUCUCAGGAGAUAAAAAUGUCAGGUUGAAUAUCAUCACAGCGCUCCAUCACCUCUAGACAGAAUGGCUUCAUUAUCUGGAGUGAAUGAAGGCUCUUUGUAAGCCCGUGACCACAGCGAUCUCUGAACAGAACACCCUAUAAUCUCAGAGCUGAGCCCACUGUUAAAACAGGCACGGAGGCGACACUGUUCCACCCCCCAGUGUGGUGGGGAUAGGUUGUAAAACUCUGCCAGUGACACUAGUGGAGACUUUGAUCCACGGUCGCUGUCUAGUCCUCGUGCUGGGACUCGCAGGCACACUAUGACUCUAAAAUCAGUAACUGAAACACAAGCCUCUCACCCAGCAUGGGUGGCAAUCAACUUUUCUACGACCACUCUCAUUUUCGUUUUAUGUUCGUUAUUGCUCAGGAGCCUUGCACACGGUUCGGGCAUGUGAAGCGUCCCCUUGGCUCUGCAAUGGAGGCAGUUUAGGGAGUGAGCAGGGGCCCCAGAACAGGCCACUCCUUCCCUCAAGCACUUCUUAAAGCACGGGGAGAACUUGAUGCUUUCACAGGAAGCCCUGUGAGCUUCCUACCAAGAAAACAAGAGGACCAAUCAGCCUGUUGGUGGAAGCUCUGGACUGCGCUUAGUUCAAUGGACCAUUCACACAUUGUAGACAAGCACAGGGUGAGGCUGAGGCUGAGACUGCCACAGCAGUUGGCCUGUGAUCUGGAAAGGACGCCAUCACUGGGAUGAGCUUCCCUGCCACCCUGGCAGAUAGGACACAGGCUCUCUGUGGACCUUUGUUCUGUCACUUUCAGAAGGCACAGGGAUAAAGGCUGCACCACACCCAGCAACCCCAUCUCUGAGCCCUUUGUCUUACCUAGCUCCGCCCACCCCAUUGGGCUGCUUUUAUGUAGUCAUUUCAACUUCAUCAGGGAGUCCAAAUGAAGCCUUCUGAAGCCUGCCUUGGACAUGGCUAGGGGUCCACUUGAGGUGCUGGGAAUUGAACCUGUGUCCUGUGGAAGAGAAGCUGGUGCUCUUAACUGCCGAGCCAUCUCUCCAGUCACCACAUCUUUUAAUAUGUCCUCUAAAAACUGAAGAACAUAUCUUCUGGGUGGGAAGGAACCCUGACACCUAUUUUGAAAGGCUGCCGACAUCACGUGAUUAGCAGAUACAGCUUUAGGCUUUUGUAGGUCAGUAACCAAGUACAUACUCUGCUGAACAGGAACAAAAAUUAAUUUUAAUUGCCAACCAGGCAUUCCAGUUUAAGUAAAUUCAGGUCAACAAGUCA
Mus musculus (house mouse) is the source of this 6439-nucleotide long non-coding RNA. RefSeq annotates it as RIKEN cDNA 4930534D22 gene. The transcript is spliced from 2 exons. NCBI's taxonomy places the organism in Eukaryota, Metazoa, Chordata, Mammalia, Rodentia, Muridae. The record is from RefSeq and is a predicted model, not a curated record.